AAUAGAUACCCCGGUAGUCCACGCCGUAAACGAUGAGUGCUAAGUGUUAGAGGGUUUCCGCCCUUUAGUGCUGAAGUUAACGCAUUAAGCACUCCGCCUGGGGAGUACGGCCGCAAGGCUGAAACUCAAAGGAAUUGACGGGGGCCCGCACAAGCGGUGGAGCAUGUGGUUUAAUUCGAAGCAACGCGAAGAACCUUACCAGGUCUUGACAUCCUCUGACAACCCUAGAGAUAGGGCUUCUCCUUCGGGAGCAGAGUGACAGGUGGUGCAUGGUUGUCGUCAGCUCGUGUCGUGAGAUGUUGGGUUAAGUCCCGCAACGAGCGCAACCCUUGAUCUUAGUUGCCAUCAUUCAGUUGGGCACUCUAAGGUGACUGCCGGUGACAAACCGGAGGAAGGUGGGGAUGACGUCAAAUCAUCAUGCCCCUUAUGACCUGGGCUACACACGUGCUACAAUGGAUGGUACAAAGAGCUGCGAGCCCGCGAGGGUAAGCUAAUCUCAUAAAGCCAUUCUCAGUUCGGAUUGU
This 524-nucleotide ribosomal RNA is filed under the name uncultured bacterium. Its description in RNAcentral is "bacterial SSU rRNA". It matches the Rfam family "Bacterial small subunit ribosomal RNA", at positions 777 to 1301 of the family's 1533-position model. The record is from RNAcentral.